GAUGAACGCUGGCGGCGUGCUUAACACAUGCAAGUCAAACGGAAAGGCCCAAGCUUGCUUGGGUACUCGAGUGGCGAACGGGUGAGUAACACGUGGGUGAUCUGCCCUGCACUUCGGGAUAAGCCUGGGAAACUGGGUCUAAUACCGGAUAGGACGAUGGUUUGGAUGCCAUUGUGGAAAGUUUUUUCGGUGUGGGAUGAGCUCGCGGCCUAUCAGCUUGUUGGUGGGGUAAUGGCCUACCAAGGCGUCGACGGGUAGCCGGCCUGAGAGGGUGUACGGCCACAUUGGGACUGAGAUACGGCCCAGACUCCUACGGGAGGCAGCAGUGGGGAAUAUUGCACAAUGGGCGCAAGCCUGAUGCAGCGACGCCGCGUGGGGGAUGACGGCCUUCGGGUUGUAAACUCCUUUCGCUAGGGACGAAGCGUUUUUGUGACGGUACCUGGAGAAGAAGCACCGGCUAACUACGUG
RNAcentral lists this ribosomal RNA (468 nucleotides) under uncultured bacterium. RNAcentral's name for it is "partial 16S ribosomal RNA". It matches the Rfam family "Bacterial small subunit ribosomal RNA", at positions 28 to 507 of the family's 1533-position model. The record is from RNAcentral.